RNAcentral lists this non-coding RNA (25 nucleotides) under Cricetulus griseus (Chinese hamster). The record is from RNAcentral. Lineage: Eukaryota; Metazoa; Chordata; Mammalia; Rodentia; Cricetidae.
UAGGCUCUCACUUCUCUGGUUAGGU